CGGCACGGGUGAGUAACACGUAUCCAACCUGCCGUCUACUCUUGGACAGCCUUCUGAAAGGAAGAUUAAUACAAGAUGGCAUCAUGAGUCCGCAUGUUCACAUGAUUAAAGGUAUUCCGGUAGACGAUGGGGAUGCGUUCCAUUAGAUAGUAGGCGGGGUAACGGCCCACCUAGUCUUCGAUGGAUAGGGGUUCUGAGAGGAAGGUCCCCCACAUUGGAACUGAGACACGGCCAA
This 235-nucleotide ribosomal RNA is filed under the name uncultured bacterium. RNAcentral describes it as "partial 16S ribosomal RNA". It matches the Rfam family "Bacterial small subunit ribosomal RNA", at positions 100 to 334 of the family's 1533-position model. The record is from RNAcentral.